UAGGGAAUCUUCGGCAAUGGACGGAAGUCUGACCGAGCAACGCCGCGUGAGUGAAGAAGGUUUUCGGAUCGUAAAGCUCUGUUGUUAGAGAAGAACGUUGGUAGGAGUGGAAAAUCUACCAAGUGACGGUAACUAACCAGAAAGGGACGGCUAACUACGUGCCAGCAGCCGCGGUAAUACGUAGGUCCCGAGCGUUUUCCGGAUUUAUUUGGCGUAAAGCGAGCGCUGGCGGUUCUUUAAGUCUGAAGUUAAAGGCAGUGGCUUAACCAUUGUACGCUUUGGAAACUGGAGGACUUGAGUGCAGAAGGUGAAAAUGGAAUUCCAUGUGUAGCGGUGAAAUGCGUAGAUAUAUGGAGGAACACCGGUGGCGAAAGCGGCUCUCUAGUCUGUAACUAACGCUGAGGCUCGAAAGCGUGGGGAGCAAACAGG
Molecule: ribosomal RNA, 429 nt
Filed under: Bacillota bacterium
Lineage: Bacteria; Bacillati; Bacillota
Description: Firmicutes bacterium partial 16S ribosomal RNA
Rfam family: Bacterial small subunit ribosomal RNA
Source: RNAcentral